CUUUUAAGCACCCUCUUAUGACAUAAGCUGAGCUUGUGUUUCCAAUAAAAAACCAUAAGAUCAUCUUGUUGUUUUUGAAUCUCUCAUUAAAAUCCCACUUACCAUCUCGAUCUCUUCCCACUUCCCUCCUUCCAUUUUGAAAAUCUCUCCUUUGCUCUCUUUCUUUGCUGUCUUAGCAAGACUAUUCAAUUGUUGCUGUUUUUUUUCCCCAUUUGAGAAAGGUGUGUGAAUUCUGAAGAUUUGUAAAGAUGAAUGACCUCAUGACCAAAUCGUUUAUGAGCUAUGUGGACCUAAAGAAAGAGGCCAUGAAAGAUCUUGAAGCUGGUCCUGACCCUGUUGUAGAAAUGGCAAAUGCAUCAAACACCAUGGACAGCAAUCUUGGUCUGUUCCUUGAAGAAGCUGAGGAUGUAAAGAAAGAAAUGCGAUCGAUCCGUGAGAUUCUUGACCAGUUGCAAGAAGCAAAUGAAGAAAGCAAGUCCUUACACAAACACGAGGCCUUAAAAUCGAUACGAGACAAAAUCAAUGCAGAUAUCGUUAAAGGCCUGAAAAAGGCCAGAAGUAUUAAAACCCAGCUUGAAGAAAUGGAUCGUGCCAAUGCUGCUAAUAGGCGCCUUUCAGGGUACAAGGAAGGAACUCCGAUUUAUAGAACAAGGGUUGCUGUUACUAAUUGCUUGCGCAAGAAAUUGAAGGAGCUGAUGAUGGAUUUUCAAGCUUUAAGGCAAAAGAUGAUGAUUGAGUAUAAAGAUACUGUUGGUAGGAGGUAUUUCACUGUUACCGGAGAGUACCCAGAUGAGGAAAUCAUUGAUAAGAUCAUCUCUGAUGGUAAUGGGGGUGAGGAGUUCUUGAAACGUGCAAUCCAGGAGCAUGGGAAAGGGAAGGUGCUGGAGACUGUGGUGGAGAUACAGGACAGGCAUGAUGCUGCCAAAGAGAUUGAGAAGAGCUUGUUGGAGCUGCACCAGGCGUUUUUGGACAUGGCAGUGAUGGUGGAGGCACAAGGGGAGCAGAUGGAUGAUAUUGAGCACCACGUGUUGAAUGCUAGUCACUAUGUGAAGGAUGGUACCAAAGAGCUCAAGAGUGCUAAAGAUUACCAGAAGAGCAGCAGGAAAUGGAUGUGUAUCGGUAUCAUUCUCCUUUUGAUAAUCAUUCUUGUGAUUGUUAUACCUAUCGUUACUAGCUUUAGCUACUCUUGAAUUGGAGGGCCUUAUGGAGGAUUUAAUGACCUGUUAUUCCUUCUGGCUUUCUUGCUUUACUUUUGGAGGAUAUGCUUUAAUCCCUUAUUUUGGGGCCAGAUUAAGCGGGGAGGGGGUUCGGUUUUCUCUCGUCACUGCUUCACUCUUUGAGUAAUGGUAGGAUUUAAUGUUGUGAUGUAAAUUUGGAAAAAUUGCUUUAUUCUUUAUGCUCGUUCUUUGCUCCAAUCCUGGAAGUUUACAACUUUAGAUUCUGCACAGACAGUUGUUUUAGAACAGGUGUCGGCAAUGACUUUUAGAGAAAGAAAUAUAUGGACUUGAAAAGCAGCAGGAUUGCCUUUAGGCAAGAUAGCCUGUAUAUUGUUCUGGUUUUUCAGAGAAACACGAUCCAUCAUCCUUCUUUAUCUUUGAAUGGGUGCCUUUUUGGAGCAACUUCAUGAUCCAAUGUAGGGAAUUCAGGAGGCAAUUGGGUCUUGGCUAGAAACUAUAGAAACAAAUUGAAAAAGGAAAUGCAGCAGAAAUAAAAAAGAAAAAAAAUCCAGAUUUCCUUUUCUGGACUCAAAAAGAUUUAGCUGUGCAUUUCUGAAAUAGUAAAAGGCAUGAAGAAGAAGACUUCAAUAUUUUCUUCUAAGUUGAAUUCUAUCUAAACUUCGCUUCCAUUUUCAGAUCACUCAACAUAUCAUAUCCAUUUCUUCUUUACUUGGUCUUCCUCGUCUUUUUGGAGUUAAUAAAUUCUUCUGCCAAUCUCUGGAACAAGCUCAACUCAGUCUACCUCGUCUCUUCUAUUUCUUCAACUUCCUUUAUUAUGUGUGCUGAUGAAUUUGUUGAAGUCUCUUCCUAUGCUUUCAAGUUCAAGCACAAUGCUUUCUGGCAGAAACUUGAUAGUGAAGGAAAUGGAAAUUACCAGUCAUCUUUAUUGUGAAGGAACGCAUUGUUAUGAUUGUAGAGCAUUGCAGGAUACACUGGAUCUUGCACAAACCUCUGUACAGUUGAUCGGGUGAAAAAGCCAAUAUCUGGAGUUCUCCAGGACAAGUUCCCGACAAGCUUGUUGGAUUCUGUAUGGAAUUUAUGCAAUUGGCAGUCAAAAGUAUCACAAGUAGGAUUUAGGCCACUAGUGAUGAACCACUUCCCAACGAAAUCUGCAACAUUAAAGUUCUUGACAAGAAUGGCAGGAUCAGGGACGGAAUUCCAACAUCAGACUUCUGAGUAUCUGCGAGCAUCUCAAGAGAAAGAACAGAACUUACCUGGCAUUCAUCUGCAGUAUGGAGGCAAGCAACAUUAGCAGCACAAGAUUGAGUUUGCAAUGCACUUUGCCAAUUCUAGCCCGACAAUAACAAGCUGGUAAGUAAAUGACAAUGAUGAAGGAUCAAAAUGCACUUGCCGGUUAAAUGGAAGGAAAUCCCUUUGCUACCAAAAAUUUCAACAACUAAUUCCCAUCAAUACCACCACCUCCUCAUCAAAUCUAAACAGAAAAUGCUAACCUAUAAUUCAUAUCCUAGUGUAUCUUCUGAUUGCAUAACAGUACGCCACCAUAAAUCACAUUCAGACAGAUUACUGAAAUAUGUUAAACCAUGAUUUUAAGGAUGCUUUCAUACUGAAAUGAAAGAAAUUUAACUUCUAUUAGAAUUAUGUUGUUCACUUUUCUCUAACAUUAAUGGAUUAUAAUAUUUGACC
RNA transcript from Populus euphratica (Euphrates poplar), 2861 nucleotides. It is a transcript of the gene named syntaxin-related protein KNOLLE-like, with no coding region annotated. Lineage: Eukaryota; Viridiplantae; Streptophyta; Magnoliopsida; Malpighiales; Salicaceae. The record is from RefSeq and is a predicted model, not a curated record. The transcript is spliced from 3 exons.